GGCUACCUAGCGCAAUGGUAGCGCGUUUGGCUUCGAUUGCCAGACGGCACCAAAAGGUUGCAGGUUCGAGUCCUGCGGUGGUCA
Molecule: non-coding RNA, 84 nt
Organism: Imleria badia
Lineage: Eukaryota; Fungi; Basidiomycota; Agaricomycetes; Boletales; Boletaceae
Source: the annotation of a GenBank genome assembly